RNAcentral lists this ribosomal RNA (627 nucleotides) under uncultured bacterium. RNAcentral describes it as "bacterial SSU rRNA". It matches the Rfam family "Bacterial small subunit ribosomal RNA", at positions 60 to 733 of the family's 1533-position model. The record is from RNAcentral.
AGUCGAACGAUCCUUUCGGGGAUAGUGGCGCACGGGUGCGUAACGCGUGGGAAUCUGCCCUUGGGUUCGGAAUAACGUCUGGAAACGGACGCUAAUACCGGAUGAUGACGUAAGUCCAAAGAUUUAUCGCCCAGGGAUGAGCCCGCGUAGGAUUAGCUAGUUGGUGGGGUAAAGGCCUACCAAGGCGACGAUCCUUAGCUGGUCUGAGAGGAUGAUCAGCCACACUGGGACUGAGACACGGCCCAGACUCCUACGGGAGGCAGCAGUAGGGAAUAUUGGACAAUGGGCGAAAGCCUGAUCCAGCAAUGCCGCGUGAGUGAUGAAGGCCUUAGGGUUGUAAAGCUCUUUUACCCGGGAUGAUAAUGACAGUACCGGGAGAAUAAGCCCCGGCUAACUCCGUGCCAGCAGCCGCGGUAAUACGGAGGGGGCUAGCGUUGUUCGGAAUUACUGGGCGUAAAGCGCACGUAGGCGGCGAUUUAAGUCAGAGGUGAAAGCCCGGGGCUCAACCCCGGAACUGCCUUUGAGACUGGAUUGCUUGAAUCCGGGAGAGGUGAGUGGAAUUCCGAGUGUAGAGGUGAAAUUCGUAGAUAUUCGGAAGAACACCAGUGGCGAAGGCGGCUCACUGGA